Molecule: long non-coding RNA, 572 nt
Organism: Harmonia axyridis
Lineage: Eukaryota; Metazoa; Arthropoda; Insecta; Coleoptera; Coccinellidae
Exons: 3
Source: RefSeq, a predicted model, not a curated record
UCUCGAUUUCAUUUGAACACGUACGAUAUAAUUUGACAAUUUUUAGUAACGCCAUCAAAAAGCUUCAAAAUUGAUUAUUUUUGCGGUCGAAUUUCGAAAUUUCUGCUUCUUAACCUGAAUUGAAAUGGUUUGUGGUGGUUGCAUUGAUAAUAUGUGCGGUUAUUGGCCAGAGGGGCCUUUAGUACCUUAUUGCGGGCUUGGACAACCUCGUUUUAGGGGAAAAGCAUGUUACCGUCGCAAGAAUUAUAUCUCAAGAGAUCACCAUUCUCCCUGUUGCUACGAUUCUAGGAUAUGUCCCAGCUAUAUUGCAAAGAUUAUUUCAAGAAUUGAUCAAUUUUCUCGUUAUGGAACGAAGAUUUUUGCCUGAAAAGAAAAUUUGUUGUUCUGACACAGAUACAAUUAAUGAUGGCAGUUAUGAUACAGAUACAUUGAACGAUGACGAUGAUUAUGAGUAUUUGGAGAAUCUCAAAAUGAUGAGCGAUGUCAGUCAAGCAUUUUAUAUUCAAAUGAUCCUAAAGAAGCAUACCAACAAAUGCUUUCGAAGCAAUUUGAUAGGAUGUUAACAAUUUAUG